Molecule: ribosomal RNA, 460 nt
Filed under: uncultured bacterium
Lineage: Bacteria
Description: partial 16S ribosomal RNA
Rfam family: Bacterial small subunit ribosomal RNA
Source: RNAcentral
CCUACGGGAGGCAGCAGUGAGGAAUAUUGGUCAAUGGCCGGAAGGCUGAACCAGCCAUGCCGCGUGAAGGUCAGUGCCCUAUGGGCGUUAAACUUCUUUUGUGCGGGAGCAAUAAUGGUCACGUGUGGCCAGACGAGAGUACCGUACGAAUAAGCAUCGGCUAACUCCGUGCCAGCAGCCGCGGUAAUACGGGGGAUGCAAGCGUUAGCCGGAUUUAUUGGGUUUAAAGGGUGCGUAGGCUGUGAGGUAAGUCAGCGGUGAAAUGCCCCCGCUCAACGGGGUGAAGUGCCAUUGAUACUGCCUGGCUGGAAGGCGGAUGACGUGGGAGGAAUGUGUGGUGUAGCGGUGAAAUGCAUAGAUAUCACACAGAACACCGAUUGCGAAGGCAUCUCACGAAUCCGCGAUUGACGCUGAUGCACGAAAGCGUGGGUAUCAAACAGGAUUAGAUACCCCAGUAGUC